UGUGUGAGUGAAAAAAAAAAGCAGCCACAAGAAUCUAGUACGCCAUGCAGGAAACAUAAGCAAAGACAGAGGGCCCAUUCUUACACAAAGUGGGCAGGACACUGUGACCAAAACACACACACGCAUGCAGAGGAGGAGGAGGAAAAAGACAGAAAACAGUUAGAGAGGGAAACAGGAACAGAAAGUGAAGACUUGUCAAGAUGUCUGAGUGAGGAGUACCAGAAGAGAACCGAACAGAGCAGAAGCCACAUGCCAAAACAGAAAGAACAGAAGUCUAAGCAGCUGGCUGGAUUAGACAGGAGGGGAGAGGUGACCUGCUGCUACAGAAGUGCCUGCAGGGUUGUUGGAUUAUCCUACACACCAUGAGGGAGGAGUCAUACAUACAAUGUGAAUAAAUAAAGCUACACCAGUUCAGCAAUUCAGCAAAACUGAAAAAAAAGGCAAGAGGACACGAGGAAACUCAAGAAACUCAAGUGGAAUGCGGACCUGCCUCACCAAACACAACUACCGAUCAAAUCAUAGCAGCUGGUUGAUUUCCAGCCAAAGAUCACCACCAACAAGAGAGCUUGGUUGUUAAGACGAUACAGUGAACACUUGUGAACAGAAGGCAUCCAUUAAGUUAACUUCCAGUGUCUUUGUUCAACAGAAACCCCACAAGCCUGAACACAUCGAUCAGAUAGAGCACUGCUUAAUGGAAAAUAUCUCAUCUGGGAUCUUUAGGACUUUGAGCAGCUUGUGAAACUCAGAACUCAAUGAAAUUUUCUGACUUGACAGCAGAUGGACUAAUAUAGUCUCCGUUUUCAACAGAAAGCAUCAUAAAUCAACUUUUGACCUUCAAAAAGGACUCUCUAAAGGAGCCGUUCCAACUAUUUGCUUAGCUCAAAAAAGCGUCACAU
Nematolebias whitei (Rio pearlfish) is the source of this 896-nucleotide long non-coding RNA. RefSeq lists it as uncharacterized. The record is from RefSeq and is a predicted model, not a curated record. NCBI's taxonomy places the organism in Eukaryota, Metazoa, Chordata, Actinopteri, Cyprinodontiformes, Rivulidae. The transcript is spliced from 3 exons.